Long non-coding RNA from Haplochromis burtoni (Burton's mouthbrooder), 2907 nucleotides. RefSeq lists it as uncharacterized. The record is from RefSeq and is a predicted model, not a curated record. NCBI's taxonomy places the organism in Eukaryota, Metazoa, Chordata, Actinopteri, Cichliformes, Cichlidae. The transcript is spliced from 6 exons.
ACUCGUCGGAUGAAUCGGACCAGAGUAAACGAACUACAUGUGUGAAAAUUCCACGAAAGAGUGCCUCCGUACACAGAUGCAUCAUCAUCAUCAGGAGGGGCGGGUUCCUUGGCAGCUGAGAUGACGCUAACAGCAAACUCUCUAGGUGUUUCCUUCCUGCUCAAAGUUUCUUCUUCCUGAGGUUACUGUCUGAUGAUCGUGUCCGUGUGAAGGCAAAGGUAAAAAAUGUGUGUGAGCUGAUGUGGAUGUGAAUUCAGCAGCAUGGAUAAGUGUGAGGACAUAGAGGAGGGAGUCCCUCCCUCUAAAAGAGACAGAGAGAGCCAGAACAAAGGUCAGAGGAACCAACCUGGACCUGAACCCAGCUGUUUUUCCUUCAAGAGUGACCAGUCGAUUCCUUUUUAUAUUGGGUUUAAAGAAGGCUGCUGUUCUCCUGCAGAGAGGGUGGAUCAGCAGAGCUCAGAGGUUCCCAGUGAUCAGUCUGCCCAGCAGCAUCAAACACAGCUGGACUCCAUAUUUAUGACUGAGUGGCUGUAACCUCUUGGAAAGAAGCUGUGAAGUUAUGUCCUCAGUUGUCAACUUCCACUCCUCUACUCUGAAAGAGCUGGACCUGAGUAACAAUGACCUACAGGAUUCAGGAAUGAAGCUUCUGUCUGCAGGACUGGAUAGUUCUCAAUGUACACUAGAAACCCUCAGCUUGGGUCCUCUUCCAGAGGCCUGCAGCUUGAUGGUCCUGUGCAAUAUCUUUGCUAAUUCUAGGACUGCACUCUUCUGGACAAAGAUCUUGGAUGUUGAUACUUAGAUCUGCUUGAGCCACUUGCCUAGCUUCGGGGGUCACUGCACUACGUGCUCGAAUUACCACUGGGACCACUAUUGCCUUCACCCUCCACAUCUUCAUGAGCUCUUCUCUGAGCCCUUAGUACAUUUCAAGCUUCUUCAGGAACUCAUCAGGAACUCAGUGGGGAUGUGGCAUACAACACUAGAGGCAAACUUCAAGCCCAUAGCACAAGUGACCAUCAAGUGCAGGAUCUCCCAAGGAGAUGCUCUCUCCCCACUGUUGUUCUGCGUAGGCCUGAACCCCUUUAGUGAGCUCAUUAUCAAGACUGGCUACGGAUACAGACUAUGGAAUGGAGCAGUUGUCAGCUACCUCCUGUACAUGGAUGACAUCAAGCUGUAUACCGAGAGUGAAUGAGACAUCAGGUAAUCAGAACUCAGGGGAUCCAACUACCAGAAGGCAACAUCGCAGGCAAUGUGGAGAGCUACAUGUACCUGUGAAUCCCAUAGGCAAAUGGGAACUACAAAGAGGCUGCUAGGAAAGCUGCAGUGACCAAGUACCUGCAGAGGGUCAGGCAAGUCUUGAGGAGCCAGCUGAACGGUAAGAACAAGAUUCAGGCUAUCGUGAUCAGGUAUCCUGCUAGGAUAAUAAGCUGGCCAAAGGAGGAGAUAGAAGCCACUGACAUCAAGACAAGGAAGCUCCAUCAACCAUGCAUGGAGGGUUUCACCCCAAGUCCAGCACCCUGAGGGGUGUAUGCUAAGCAGAACCCGGGAGGCCGGGGACUAGUGAGUGUCAGCACCACAGUCUAGGAUGAGACAGUGAACAUCCAUGAAUACAUCAGGAAGAUGGCCCCAACCAACUGCAUGCUCAGUGAAUACCUCAGGCAGCAAAAACCCAAGAAGGAAGAGGAGCAAGAGGAGGAGCACUCAUUGAAGGACAGGCACUGUAUGUAUCACCGGCAGAUGAGGAAUAGGCUGACAUCCAGAAAUUCUAUUAGUGGCUGGAUUGAAAGACAGCACGGAAGUACUAAUCAUGGCAGCACAAAACAAGCUCUCAGAACAAUCCAUAGAGGCUGGGGUCUAUCCGCACCAGACAAGACCCCCAGUGCAGGCUGUUUAAAAAAGUCCCUAAGACUAUCCACCGCAUAACAGCUGGGUGCAAGAUGCUAGCAGGCAAGGCAGACAUGGAACGCUAUAACCAAGUUGCCGGCAUAGUAUACAGAAACAUCUGUGCUGAGUAUGGCUUGGAAGUCGUGAGAUCAAAACGGGACUUCCAGAUACAGACGGAAAAAAUGGUAAUGUCUAACCAACCAGACAUAGUAGUGGUAGACAAGCAGAGGAUAGAGGAUAGCUUGUGAUAGUCAUAGCAAUACUGACAGCAACAUCAGGAAGAAGGAACAUAAGAUGUUAGUGAAAUACUAAGGGCUCGGAGAAGAGCUCGAGAAGAUGUGUAGGGUGAAGGUAACAGGGGUCCCAGUUGUAUUCAAUGCAAUUGAUGAAGUGACUUGCAAGCUAGGCGGCUGGCUUCAGCAGAUCCCAGGAACAACAUCCGAGAUCUCUGUCCAGAAAAGCACAGUUCUAGGAACAGCAAAGAUGCUGUGCAGGACACUCAAGCUACCAGACUUCUGGUAGGGUACCUUAGAUUGAAAGAUAAAGACCCCUGCAACUCAGUAUAGUACAGUAUAAUACUACUCCAUUCAACAAGCAACCUCUAACCCUGUAAGAUUGUUUUAAAUAGUCUGGUCAGAAAGUUCACUGCUCUGUCUCCUAGAUAUCGCCAUACUGAUACGAGUAUGUCAUCUGGACUGCCUUUAAUCCUCUUUCUAGCUGCCAUCACUUCUACCUUACUAAUCCUCUGCACUACCUGAUUCUAAACUAGAUCAAGAUACAAAUCUUUUUUUCAUCCUUCCUCACACAUACACGUCUUUUCCUUUGCUUUUGCUAUUUUUCUUUUGCUGUACACCUUCCUAUACCUUUGUCUUUCUUAAUUUCUAUAACUAGCCCCCUUUUCCUUUGUUAACCUCUUUCUUUCAAUAUUUGUGUGUAUAUUGUAAUUCCAUUAUAAAGUAGAGAUGGCACGAUACCAAUUUUUUAUGUCCGAUACAAGACCGAUAUCAUAAAUUUGUCUAUCUGCCG